RNAcentral lists this ribosomal RNA (919 nucleotides) under uncultured bacterium. RNAcentral's name for it is "bacterial SSU rRNA". It matches the Rfam family "Bacterial small subunit ribosomal RNA", at positions 8 to 916 of the family's 1533-position model. The record is from RNAcentral.
AGAGUUUGAUCAUGGCUCAGAUUGAACGCUGGCGGCAGGCUUAACACAUGCAAGUCGAGCGGUAACAGAGAGGAGCUUGCUUCUCUGCUGACGAGCGGCGGACGGGUGAGUAAUGCCUGGGAAUCUGCCUGAUAGUGGGGGAUAACUUGCCGAAAGGUAAGCUAAUACCGCGUACGUCCUACGGGAGAAAGCAGGGGAUCUUCGGACCUUGCGCUAUCAGAUGAGCCCAGGCCGGAUUAGCUAGUUGGUGGGGUAAUGGCCCACCAAGGCGACGAUCCGUAGCUGGUCUGAGAGGAUGAUCAGCCACACCGGGACUGAGACACGGCCCGGACUCCUACGGGAGGCAGCAGUGGGGAAUAUUGGACAAUGGGGGGAACCCUGAUCCAGCCAUGCCGCGUGUGUGAAGAAGGUCUUCGGAUUGUAAAGCACUUUAAGUUGGGAGGAAGGGCUUUAGGUUAAUACCCUGAAGUUUUGACGUUACCAACAGAAUAAGCACCGGCUAACUUCGUGCCAGCAGCCGCGGUAAUACGAAGGGUGCAAGCGUUAAUCGGAAUUACUGGGCGUAAAGCGCGCGUAGGUGGUUUGUUAAGUUGGAAGUGAAAGCCCCGGGCUCAACCUGGGAAUUGCUUUCAAAACUGGCGAGCUAGAGUACGGUAGAGGGUAGUGGAAUUUCCUGUGUAGCGGUGAAAUGCGUAGAUAUAGGAAGGAACAUCAGUGGCGAAGGCGACUACCUGGACUGAUACCGACACUGAGGUGCGAAAGCGUGGGGAGCAAACAGGAUUAGAUACCCUGGUAGUCCACGCCGUAAACGAUGUCAACUAGUUGUUGGGGGCCUUGUGUCCUUAGUAACGCAGCUAACGCAUUAAGUUGACCGCCUGGGGAGUACGGCCGCAAGGUUAAAACUUAAAUGAAUUGACGG